Molecule: long non-coding RNA, 1045 nt
Filed under: Nicotiana benthamiana
Lineage: Eukaryota; Viridiplantae; Streptophyta; Magnoliopsida; Solanales; Solanaceae
Description: long non-coding RNA (NBEN_LNC005959)
Source: RNAcentral
CUCAUCUCCUCCUCCACCAGUGCAUGUCUAUCCAUCACCACCCCAUCACCCUGUAUAUAAGUCUCCACCACCACCUAAGAAGCCCUACCACCCUUCACCAACCCCAUAUCAUCCUGUACCCGUUUAUAAAUCUCCACCCCCACCAACUCCAGUUUACAAGUCGCCACCACCACCCAAGAAGCCACAAUAUCCUCCACACAUCCCGGUUUAUAAGUCGCCACCACCACCAACUCCCGUUUACAAGUCACCACCACCACCCAAGAAGCCACACUACCCUCCACACAUCCCUGUUUAUAAGUCACCACCACCGCCCAAGAAGCCAUACUAUCCUCCACAUACUCCAGUUUACAAGUCGCCACCACCACCAACUCCGGUUUACAAGUCACCACCGCCACCCAAGAAACCAUACUAUCCUCCACACAUCCCUGUUUACAAAUCUCCACCACCACCUACUCCAGUUUACAAGUCGCCACCACCACCCAAGAAGCCAUACUACCCUCCACACACCCCGGUUUAUAAGUCUCCACCACCACCAACUCCUGUUUACAAGUCACCACCACCACCCAAGAAGCCAUACUAUCCUCCACACACACCAGUUUACAAGUCGCCACCACCACCUACUCCCGUUUACAAGUCACCACCACCACCAACACCCGUUUACAAGUCACCACCACCACCUAAGAAGCCACACCAUCCUUCACCAACCCCAUAUCAUCCUGCACCAGUUUACAAGUCCCCACCACCACCUAAGAAGCCAGACCACCCUUCACCAACACCGUAUCAUCCUGCACCAGUUUACAAAUCCCCACCGCCACCUACUCCAGUUUACAAGUCACCACCACCUUCAGUGAAGCCAUACCAUCCUUCACCAACACCAUAUCAUCCUGCACCAGUUUAUAAGCCUCCACCACCACCAACUCCUGUCUACAAGUCACCUCCACCACCAACUCCAGUCUACAAGUCUCUACCACCGCACCACCCCUAUCUUUACACUUCUCCUCCUCCUCCCUACCAUUACUAAGAAGUGUCAUCGCAAAGUUGAAGG